CUACGGGUGGCUGCAGUAAGGAAUAUUGGGCAAUGGACGGAAGUCUGACCCAGCCAUCCCGCGUGCAGGAAGAAUGCCCUAUGGGUUGUAAACUGCUUUUGUUUGGGAAGAAAUGUACUUUUUCAAGAGUAUUUGACGGUACCAGACGAAUAAGCACCGGCUAACUCCGUGCCAGCAGCCGCGGUAAUACGGAGGGUGCAAGCGUUAUCCGGAAUCACUGGGUUUAAAGGGUGCGUAGGCGGCCAGAUAAGUCAGAGGUGAAAGUUUCCGGCUCAACCGGGAGAUUGCCUUUGAUACUGUUUGGCUUGAAUCAGAUUGAGGUUGGCGGAAUGUGACAUGUAGCGGUGAAAUGCAUAGAUAUGUCAUAGAACAUCGAUUGCGAAGGCAGCUGGCUGGAUCUGUAUUGACGCUGAGGCACGAAAGCGUGGGGAGCAAACAGGAUUAGAUACCCUUGUAGUC
This 459-nucleotide ribosomal RNA is filed under the name uncultured bacterium. RNAcentral describes it as "partial 16S ribosomal RNA". It matches the Rfam family "Bacterial small subunit ribosomal RNA", at positions 339 to 795 of the family's 1533-position model. The record is from RNAcentral.